Molecule: long non-coding RNA, 2660 nt
Filed under: Equus caballus (horse)
Lineage: Eukaryota; Metazoa; Chordata; Mammalia; Perissodactyla; Equidae
Description: lncRNA (ENSECAG00000030837.2)
Source: RNAcentral
UCUUAGCGUGUUACAACAGACAAAUGUCCAGAGCGCUGGAUUCAGGAGCUGUGACUCACCAUCGUGGAUCCCAUAUCCCCAGGACACAAAGGGCACAAAUACCUGGGGGAAGACAGCAGGGUCCAGGGGACAGUCAGCACUCCACGUGAGCCAUGGCACCAGAAAAUUGUCAAAGAAAAACAAAUCCAGAUUUUGGUAAUCCAGGGAAGCAUGGUUUUGAGGAAGCGUGGUCCUUUUCUGUAAGCCUGUUCCUGGAACACAAUGGGUAGGAGAUUUCUUGUACAGUGCUGUUUUCUGGGAGAACAGGAUUCAGAUUGACCCUGAGCUAACAUCUGUGCCACUCUUCCUCUAUUUUAUGUGGGAUGCUGCCACAGCAUGGCUUGACAAGAGGCACUAGGUCCAUGCCUGGGAUCCAAACCUGUGAACCUCGGGCUCUCCAAGCAGAGAACGCAAACUCAACCACUAUGCCACCGGCUGGCCCCUAUCAGUUUUCUUUUGACACUUCAAACAGAGCUAGUGUUUAAUAUAAUUUAGGUCUGAAGACAUGCUGUUAAUGGUCUGAACAAUUUGAUGUCAACUGUUGGGGGAGAGCAGGCAUAGACUUGGACUUUUUUGAAAUAGAGAUUUUCAAAAGAGGAGAGCCACCACACACCAGGAACCAGGUCAUCAUCACGCUUCUGUUCUUCAGAUUUCGAUUCUACAGGUUCCCUUUUAUGUUCGAUACAAUCCCAAGACCCACACCCCUCCCCCCAACACAUACAGGUACUUCCAGGAAUUGUUUUGCUAUCUUAAGGGAGAGAGAUCAAUAAUGCUCACAAGUAAACAAAUCUCAAAAAGUUGAUAAUGUACAUUUGAAAAUCCAUUUGUUUAUAUGUUUUAAAAACGGGGAAGUCAAAGCAAAGAAGACAAAAGUGUAUAAAUUUGAGAGAUAUUCAGAUAUCCAUGGAAGAGAAUUGCUCAGAAGAACAAAGCAGAGUAUAACAUUACAUGAGUCAUGGCCUUUCUCAAGAGAGUAAAAGUAAGCAUAUUUUUAUGAGUUGAUUGUUUAACUCUUAGAACAUUUGACAUGGGGUCUAUUGAUUGUGGAGGGGCUGAUCUCCUCCUCGUGGGUUAUUUGAGCUCCUCUCUGGGCCUAGGUAUAUUUUUGUCAUAAUUUAUCCCACCUGUGUCUGUCAAUUCCUUUCCACUUGCCUCCUCCCGUGACAGUCUGGCUCAUGUUUCUUCAAAAAGCUCUAAGCCAGUUAUUAAUAACAGCCCAGAGAGUCUCCUGAUCCAUCUAGGAGCAUAUGGUGUUUUCACGAAAGAGAGAGAUCAUCUCCUUGACUUUGAACUUCGCUUUUUGAACGCCUGAACAGACUGGUAGAUUCGAUUCUCUAUCUGGAUGAAACAGAAAGGAAGGUUGUCUCAGAGAAGAUCUGUUUCCCAAAGUGCUACCCUAUAACUCAGGAGGAACCAAGGUUGCUAAGAGACCACCUGUGCUGAAUCCACUUUGUUCUAGCAAGAGCAGACGGAAAGAACACCAAGGAGCAGUGUUAGCUGUCACUACCUGGGAUUAAGGCAGGGAGCAGGAGCUUUCUGAAUAUGACGUGUAAAAACUGGAUAUUAAUUUCUACUACUACCCCCACAAGUCUGGAAGAGGAAAUUGUGGGAAGACUUCUAAAAAUUUUGUUUGUUAUCCUUGUUGACUUAAUGUCUAUUAUAUAUGUUGUUAUUAGUUCUUAGUUCUGACUUCCCUUACUUUACAUGUAAAUUCCAUAUUGAAUUCCAGUGAAUAAAAAUUUGUAGUCUAAUAUGUUGAGUAAAUUUAAUUUGAUGACAUCUCCAAUUAUUCUCAAAGCCAACAGAACAUUACAAUAAAAACAAUAUUGUGUUUAGUACUUUAUGGUUUAUAAAACAUUCAUAAAUUGAAGUGGAAUUCUUUCCCCCCAAAAUCUACACUAUUGAGUCAUAAAAUUUCUUGACUUUUAGCACAACUGUUAUUUGGUAGAUUGACUAAACUUUGUCGGUAGAAUAUGAGUGAAGUUGAUUUUUUAAGGAUGCACACCUAUGUGAAAUUUUAUAUGGUUCUAUUUUUAACAUAACAAGCUUAACAUAGGAUAAUUUUUCCACCCGAUAUACCAAUAGUUUAUAUUCAUUUUCUUGUACACAUACUUCAUCUGUGUGGUGGUAGAUUGUUUUUCUUAACCCCGGACAAUUUUUUUCUACCAGCAAACACUAAGAGGAAUAGAAAUACUAAAAAGAGAUUCUUUUAGGAAAAUAGAACUUAGAGAAAACAGGGAGCAACCUGUGUUGAUUUUCCAUUUUGGACUAAAUACUCACAGUAUGUGAUUUAACAUAAGGCUCAUGAUAAUCCUUGGAGGCAAGUGUUUGUUGUCCCUAUGUGACAGACACAGAAACUGAAUUUUGGAAGAAUUAUUCUAGCUUGAGACCACCACCAGGAAGUGGUAGAACCAGGUCUCAGGCCUUUACAGUCCGUGAUAUCGUGUUGCCUCCAAAGAUAGACAAUAAAUAAAAAGACAAGUGUGGGCUCUGUAGAGCUCAACUUCUUUUCGUAGUAAUGUUUUAUUCAAGAUCCUAUGGUUGUAUUUUAGUGUACCCCUACUUAUUCUUAUUCCAUAUUUAAAAAUCUUUUAUGAAGAAGAAAGAUUGUUUACUCUUUU